UUUUCAACACUAUCAUUUAAUAAUCCUUUACCUACAAGGUGAACUAUCUGAUACUUUUUAGUAAGGUCAUCAAUAUUAUUCCAAAUAUAAUCAUUUAGAACUUUCGAUCCUAAUGAUCCACCCAUAACAAGCAUCACAGGUUUUUCUGAUGUAAAUCCAGUUAGUUCAUA
This 170-nucleotide non-coding RNA is filed under the name uncultured Gemella sp. The record is from RNAcentral. Lineage: Bacteria; Bacillati; Bacillota; Bacilli; Caryophanales; Gemellaceae.